This 678-nucleotide long non-coding RNA is filed under the name Monodelphis domestica (gray short-tailed opossum). Its description in RNAcentral is "lncRNA (ENSMODG00000050225.1)". The record is from RNAcentral. Lineage: Eukaryota; Metazoa; Chordata; Mammalia; Didelphimorphia; Didelphidae.
GAAAGAACAACAGGCUUUAUUAAUACUAUUUUGAUGACCAGGAGGUUAUAGCCCUGAACGAUCGUCCCAGUGGCACCUUUGAUACAUUUCCUCUCUGUCCUGAUUUUGUUACUCCUUGUGUACUCUUUAACACUGGAUUUUGGUUCAGAAGCUCAGCUGGUGACUGGAGAAGAAUCUUAACAAAGAAAGAUUUUAAUUUCUUAAGGUCAUUCCUCAUGAGAAAACUAUUAAAAGGGAGACUUUGGUAUUUUGGAAGUUCUUUUGAGGUUCAGGAAUUCACAAGGGAAAUUGGAUACAUUUCUCUUAAGUUGCCAACCAAUUGCCACACAAAGGACAGACAUCAGUUUAGUUGAAGCAGGAGAGUUCCCUGAGGAAGAGACCCAACACAACAUGUGACAGAUUGAACUGACCCUUGUGACCAAGAAAAAUGCUUGUAAAAAUCGUCAAUACUGAAAAAUUGUCUAACUAAUUAACCAACUAUAUAUGCACACAUGUAUUUAUGUGUACCCACACAUUCCAUUCUGUUUUAAUAAUUCUUAACUUUCUGUUACUUUGCUCUGAUUCACUUAUUGCUAAACAGAGUUGGAAAAAUCAUGAAACUAAGUCCUCUAAAAAUUUGACACAUAAUCUCAACUGUGGUCAAAUAAAAGUAAAGUAACCUUUUAUAUUUCUUUAAUC